UUGUCCCAGCCCGCCGUUUAUUGGAUGGAUGGUGCCGGCCGCGCUAGACCCGUCGCCAUCUUUACCAAAGGUCCAAUAGCAAUCUUUGGAUUUAUAAGAUCUUUGAUCUUUAUUACGGGACCGGAGCGAAAAUGGUGGCGUACUGGAGACAGGCUGGGCUGAGUUACAUUCGUUAUUCUCGGAUUUGUGCAAUGGCUCUGCGGGCUGCACUGAAACCACAGUUCCAAGCAGAGGCCAAGAAAGUAGGAGAUGUAACUGUAAAACUCAACAAACCAAAAUAGUAAUGUGAUUUGAGGAACCUCCAUAACCUGAACAUUUGAAGAUGAGAACUUGUUCAACCUAUCAUCCCAAUAGUUGGAACUUUUAACCCAUUCGAAGACUGCAAAACAGACCAAAUGUUGAUUCAAAAUACAGAGAUUAUUUAAAUAUACAUACUUUACUGGAUAAUGGAGUUUUUUCUUGUAUUGAGCAAGCUAGCACAUCUGUAGGGGGUUAUUGUUUGUUUAAAAUCUGAUGUUAUUUGUCCCUCAGUAUUCCACACUCUAAACUCUUGGUGCAUAGUUGAGGACGCCAUCCACUUUAUCUGUUGCAAUAUUGGCAAGGACUAUUCAAAUUGGGACAAUGGGAAAUAUUGUUCCUCACCUCCCAAAAAAUAUAAUCGUUAAGGGAAGGGUGGGUGGUGGUGCAUGAAGGAAUUAUGUACAUAGUUCAUUAAAAAACUCAGAAAAUCAAAGAUUACAAGACUGUUGAUCCAUAACUCGGUUGUCAUUAGUACAUCUAGAGUUGCUGAUUUUGAUUAGUGCAUUCAUGGUUCAUGUGUUGUUGAAGGUGAAGUUUGCAAUUGACAUUGCUUCUUGGAUCAGUCGGUGGACAGGCAAACACAAAAACUUCUAGGUUAUAUUUUUAAUUAAAAGGCAAACAUCCAAUAGCAUUUGGUAUAUAGUUUCGAAGUCUUGCAUCAUCUCAUUCAGUGCCGAGUCUGAAUCCGUACAGGAGCAGGAGCUGCCUCUUGUUGCUGUUCUACUCGGUCUAUUAACGUAGUAGAAAGAUUCCCUGUGGCUACACUUCUGUUAAACUAGCAGUUAAAAAACAAGCUAAUGUUUUAUCGUGGCCUGGUCAGAAGGAAACCUUCCAUCAUGCUUAAAUGGAGACUGGGUGUUGUUUAAUAAAUGCAAUAAGAGUGGUUGGUGUUAAAGGUGGAUUUAAAACCUAAAAUCCUGGUAUCUCAAGGCAAUACACAUUAUUGUUCAAUAUCAAGGAAAGGGCACCAAAUUUAA
This is an RNA transcript of Amblyraja radiata (thorny skate), 1277 nucleotides long. It is a transcript of the gene named ATP synthase F1 subunit epsilon, with no coding region annotated. Lineage: Eukaryota; Metazoa; Chordata; Chondrichthyes; Rajiformes; Rajidae. The transcript has 4 exons. The record is from RefSeq and is a predicted model, not a curated record.